AGUCGAGCGAACAGACGAGGAGCUUGCUCCUCUGACGUUAGCGGCGGACGGGUGAGUAACACGUGGAUAACCUACCUAUAAGACUGGGAUAACUUCGGGAAACCGGAGCUAAUACCGGAUAAUAUAUUGAACCGCAUGGUUCAAUAGUGAAAGACGGUUUUGCUGUCACUUAUAGAUGGAUCCGCGCCGCAUUAGCUAGUUGGUAAGGUAACGGCUUACCAAGGCAACGAUGCGUAGCCGACCUGAGAGGGUGAUCGGCCACACUGGAACUGAGACACGGUCCAGACUCCUACGGGAGGCAGCAGUAGGGAAUCUUCCGCAAUGGGCGAAAGCCUGACGGAGCAACGCCGCGUGAGUGAUGAAGGUCUUCGGAUCGUAAAACUCUGUUAUUAGGGAAGAACAAAUGUGUAAGUAACUAUGCACGUCUUGACGGUACCUAAUCAGAAAGCCACGGCUAACUACGUGCCAGCAGCCGCGGUAAUACGUAGGUGGCAAGCGUUAUCCGGAAUUAUUGGGCGUAAAGC
This 524-nucleotide ribosomal RNA is filed under the name Staphylococcus sp. A32. RNAcentral describes it as "bacterial SSU rRNA". It matches the Rfam family "Bacterial small subunit ribosomal RNA", at positions 60 to 566 of the family's 1533-position model. Lineage: Bacteria; Bacillati; Bacillota; Bacilli; Caryophanales; Staphylococcaceae. The record is from RNAcentral.